GGGCGCGUAGCUCAGCGGGAGAGCACUCCCUUCACACGGGAGGGGUCACAGGUUCAAUCCCUGUCGCGCCCACCA
This 75-nucleotide transfer RNA is filed under the name Brucella abortus. RNAcentral's name for it is "tRNA-Val (CAC) (tRNA-Val-CAC-1-1)". It matches the Rfam family "tRNA". From Rfam's summary of the family: Transfer RNA (tRNA) molecules are approximately 80 nucleotides in length. Lineage: Bacteria; Pseudomonadati; Pseudomonadota; Alphaproteobacteria; Hyphomicrobiales; Brucellaceae. RNAcentral also lists the same sequence under 434 other names. The record is from RNAcentral.